This 350-nucleotide ribosomal RNA is filed under the name uncultured bacterium. RNAcentral describes it as "bacterial SSU rRNA". It matches the Rfam family "Bacterial small subunit ribosomal RNA", at positions 917 to 1267 of the family's 1533-position model. The record is from RNAcentral.
GGGCCCGCACAAGCGGUGGAGUAUGUGGUUUAAUUCGAUGCAACGCGAAGAACCUUACCAGGGUUUGACAUCCUGCGAAUCUCUUGGAAACGAGAGAGUGCCUUCGGGAGCGCAGUGACAGGUGGUGCAUGGCUGUCGUCAGCUCGUGUCGUGAGAUGUUGGGUUAAGUCCCGCAACGAGCGCAACCCACGUCUUUAGUUGCCAGCGGUUCGGCCGGGGACUCUAGAGAAACUGCCUGCGAUGAGCAGGAGGAAGGCGGGGAUGACGUCAAGUCCUCAUGGCCCUUAUGGACUGGGCUACACACGUGCUACAAUGGCGGUGACAAUGGGCAGCGAAGGGGCGACCUGGAG